CAGUCGCCGCGGUAAUACGUAGGUGGCAAGCGUUGUCCGGAAUUAUUGGGCGUAAAGCGCGCGCAGGCGGCCUAUCCAGUCUGUCUUAAAAGUUCGGGGCUCAACCCCGUGAUGGGAUGGAAACUAGUAGGCUAGAGUAUCGGAGAGGAAAGCGGAAUUCCUAGUGUAGCGGUGAAAUGCGUAGAUAUUAGGAAGAACACCAGUGGCGAAGGCGGCUUUCCGGACGAAAACUGACGCUGAGGCGCGAAAGCUAGGGGAGCGAACGGGAUUAGAUACCCCGGUAGUCCCUGUCUCUUAUACA
Molecule: ribosomal RNA, 301 nt
Filed under: uncultured bacterium
Lineage: Bacteria
Description: partial 16S ribosomal RNA
Rfam family: Bacterial small subunit ribosomal RNA
Source: RNAcentral